This 72-nucleotide transfer RNA is filed under the name Bos taurus (domestic cattle). It matches the Rfam family "tRNA". From Rfam's summary of the family: Transfer RNA (tRNA) molecules are approximately 80 nucleotides in length. Their secondary structure includes four short double-helical elements and three loops (D, anti-codon, and T loops). The record is from Rfam by way of RNAcentral. Lineage: Eukaryota; Metazoa; Chordata; Mammalia; Artiodactyla; Bovidae. RNAcentral also lists the same sequence under 3 other names.
UCCCUGGUGUCUCAGUCAGUAAAGAAUCUGCCUGCAAUGCAGGAGACCGGGGUUCAAUCCCUGGGUUGGGAA